AUUCUUAUAUAUAUUUUUUAUUUACUAUGGAAAAUUUAGUAAUAUGUUAUAAUUAUUAGAGAUUUGUUAUAAAUGAUUUGGUUUGGAUUGGUUUGGGAGACUCUGACUAAAAAACCGUAGUUAACAGCGGUUUUGAGGUUAACUUAGAUGCAUCUAACUCAGACCUCAACUAGCAUGGGCGUUGCUAGCCUAACGUGUAGGCUACACGUUGGAUCUGUUAUACCGUUCGGGCACACUAGAGGAAAGGGCUACCCUUAGAGGUGGAGCCGCCCUAGGUGUGUAAUAUUUGAUUUGAUUUGCCUUCUGGAAUGAGAACUCACAUUUCAGUUCAUCCACUUAACAAUUUAUCUAUUUGUUUGCAUAAUUAAUUAAUACGAAAGAGCAAUGCUAUCAAUGAUUAUCAAUAAUGAACAAAAUUGGAAGAGGAAGAAGAAAAGGGAGAAACUUUACCCUCUGCAGCAACCAUUUUUGGCGCAACAUUUCUUGACACCGUUGCACAUAGUUCCCGGCCAUUGCAACGACAACGCGAAAUAAUCGAACUCUCUCUGCUUCUUCCCUAAUCCUCCUCCAACUACGCUUUCAAUUUCAUCCAAAUCUUCUUCCAUCACCGAGAAGCCACUAUCGGCGGUGACAACCACCGCGGCGGCGGCGGCGAGGAGCAGAAGGAGAAGAAAAGCUCGAUCGGAGGAGCGAGUCAUCGUCAAUGGCGAAAAUAUAAUUUUCAAGGUAAACUCUGUAUUGUCUCGUGUGGGUUAUAGAUGUAAUGUUUGUUUACUGAGUUGCAAAACUCACCCUAUUAUAUUCCCAUGUUUUUCAGAUACAGGAGUCAUUCCAGGUUCCAUUCCACCUGCCUCUCAGUAGAUCUUAGUCACUUUGGUGAGCCCUUCUUCUUUCCAAGGGCUAAGUAAUUAUGUAAUGGAACCUUUACUCAAAAUUUAGAUUAUGUCAAUGCUCCAUAUAUCACAGGCAGGAUCCUCGUGUGGGUUAUGUUAUUUUGAAUCUUGAACUGUUUAGGUAGUAAUUAUGAUUUGGUUAUGUAUGACUUAUAAAUUUAACCAUAUACUCUAGUUAUCAACUUGAUAUAUAUAUAUUAUGCGUAUUUUGGAUAUACUUGAUGGUGGAUAUGAUUGGAAUGUGUUGUUGUUGUUGUUGUCCUUGGAAAUGGAUAUUUAUUAUUGAUACAGGAAAUUAAUAUUUAUGUUGGUAAGGUCCUAGAAACAGAGGAGAUUCUAUCCGUUUUUCUGAAAAUUUGGUCGUUUGGCUUGCUGAGGAACUUGUCCCUUGAGCGUCAGUCAUGGCUUGGUCCGGGCCAUGACAUAAAUACAUCCAUAACAUUAGGAGUUUGUUCGGUAACUAUCUUAUCUGACUCCAUAGUCUCAAUAUAUCUGCAUCUGUCUUAAGAAACAGUAUAAGAAACAUUUGGACUAAUCUGGUAUUAACAUACACACUAAAAAAAAAUCCACACCAAAACAAUCUUACAUACACACUAAUAAAAAAUCUUACCUACCACAUAACUAAUCUGGUAGUAACAUACAUGAAUAUGUGCUUUUGGAAACAGCCUUCUUUUUUAUUUUAUUUCAGUAAUUUUGGGAUAUGGUGCACAAAUACUCAUUUUAUUAUCAUUGAAUCUUAGUAUGAUCUUGAAUCUUAGUAUGAUCUUUAUUUUUUAUGUUUAAAUUUGUAGUGUUCAUCUUUGGAAUAUAAUGAACAAAUAUUUAUUUUACCAUUGAUCGCUCAUGUAUUAAUGCAUUGGAUAUCAACGAUAAAACAACAAAGAAAUAUACAAAUAAAAAGAAAAAGAAAAUUUAUGAUUUGAUGUGAAUUGAUAUUCACAACUCCUCCACCUGUUAUGCUUCUUCAUGCUAAUAGCAACUUUAUCAUCUUUUCUCCCCAUGUGCUAUGACUAAUUUUCAUAAUGGCAGCCGUUAUCUUUCAAUCUUAUUUUUUCUUUGGAAAAACAAAAGUAAAGGUGGAAAAUGAUUCUUCAUUUCUUUUGCUUGUUUUGACUAAAACUAGCAUUUAAGAUCCAUUCCAGAACUGCAAUGCUCUCAGGACAAUUGCUGCUUGAUCUUCAAAGUAUUUCCUGAAACACAAAUUAUAUAUAUACAUUUCAAAACUAAAUGUUUGUCAUAAUGUCCUCACAAUAACCACAGACACACUUAUGUGAAAACCUCAUUAACACAAUGUUGGAUUAUUGGUUUGAUUUUAGAGUUUGCAGUGAAAAGAAAUGACACCCAAAAACAGGAAGUCAAAACAGAACUAGAGCAAUUAUAAAGAAACUAAAGUGAUUGAUGGUUAUAAUACUGCAAGUUAUAAAAGGAAAAUUUUUUCCAUACACAUAAUACCCUGACUUUACAUAACAAUAACCCCGUAUAUUUGUAGCUAUCCUCUUCAAUUUAGUCCAAAAAGAUCAAAUAUUCUAUGACUGCUUUUUCUUGAAUCAAUUGAAUCCCACUGCAGGUUAAUAUAUGUACAAAAUGCACAUACCAAGAUAAAGAUCAAUGAGUGAAGUUGAUAGGAAUGAAAUUGCUCCUGAUGGCAUCACCAGAACUUCACCUUCUAAUGACUAUUUCAGGUACAGGAUUGUCAACUUUAAAUGUGGAAAGCAUAUUCUUGAAUCCUGUCCGCAUUAGCUACAUACCUUCAUCACCUUGUGAUUAUGUAUCAAAAUCCAGAAAGGAAGAAAUAGUUAUUAUUACAGAACCAUUUCUCUUAAUAUUAGAAAUAGUUUAUUAUAGGCAUCUAAUACUAUUCAUUUUAUGUAAUGAUUCAAACUGUGGUUUAAAAAAAAACGACUACAUAACAAUAACUUGAUCCUUCUAUCUUGAAAGCUUAUAUAGCUCAUGCAUGCUGAUUCCUUUUAUUAUUCCUAUAUGAAUCUUGCAGCACAACAACUGGCUCUGAUCAUAAAGAAUUGACAAAGACAGGAACACCAUUUUAUAACUCUUUUCUUUCCCCAAAUUAAGCUAUUAUUUUGUUUUUUCUCUGUGCGAAACAGCAAAAAUAAAAUUAUAGAGAGGAAUAGAGAAA
RNAcentral lists this long non-coding RNA (3030 nucleotides) under Arachis ipaensis. RNAcentral describes it as "long non-coding RNA (AIPA_LNC000253)". The record is from RNAcentral. Lineage: Eukaryota; Viridiplantae; Streptophyta; Magnoliopsida; Fabales; Fabaceae.